Molecule: microRNA precursor, 81 nt
Filed under: Bombyx mori (domestic silkworm)
Lineage: Eukaryota; Metazoa; Arthropoda; Insecta; Lepidoptera; Bombycidae
Description: mir-2807 microRNA precursor family
Rfam family: mir-2807 microRNA precursor family
Source: Rfam by way of RNAcentral
GCACUGAAAAGUAUGGAGUUGGAACGAUUGCCUAUGUUUGUCGCUAGGGGCGCUGUUCCAACUGCAUACAAAUUUCAGUUA